Molecule: ribosomal RNA, 492 nt
Filed under: uncultured bacterium
Lineage: Bacteria
Description: partial 16S ribosomal RNA
Rfam family: Bacterial small subunit ribosomal RNA
Source: RNAcentral
AGUGAAAGCUGGCGGUAGGCCUAACACACGCAAGUCGAACGGCAGCACAGUAAGAGCUUGCUCUUACGGGUGGCGAGUGGCGGACGGGUGAGGAAUACAUCGGAAUCUACUUUUUCGUGGGGGAUAACGUAGGGAAACUUACGCUAAUACCGCAUACGACCUACGGGUGAAAGCAGGGGAUCUUCGGACCUUGCGCGAUUGAAUGAGCCGAUGUCGGAUUAGCUAGUUGGCGGGGUAAAGGCCCACCAAGGCGACGAUCCGUAGCUGGUCUGAGAGGAUGAUCAGCCACACUGGAACUGAGACACGGUCCAGACUCCUACGGGAGGCAGCAGUGGGGAAUAUUGGACAAUGGGCGCAAGCCUGAUCCAGCCAUACCGCGUGGGUGAAGAAGGCCUUCGGGUUGUAAAGCCCUUUUGUUGGGAAAGAAAAGCAGCAGGUUAAUACCCCGCUGUUCUGACGGUACCCAAAGAAUAAGCACCGGCUAACUUCGUG